RNAcentral lists this ribosomal RNA (426 nucleotides) under uncultured bacterium. RNAcentral describes it as "bacterial SSU rRNA". It matches the Rfam family "Bacterial small subunit ribosomal RNA", at positions 355 to 773 of the family's 1533-position model. The record is from RNAcentral.
UGGGGAAUAUUGGACAAUGGGCGCAAGCCUGAUCCAGCAAUGCCGCGUGUGUGAAGAAGGCCUUCGGGUUGUAAAGCACUUUUAUCAGGAGCGAAAUCUGCAUGCUUAAUACGUGUGCAGUCUGACGGUACCUGAGGAAUAAGCACCGGCUAACUUCGUGCCAGCAGCCGCGGUAAUACGAAGGGUGCAAGCGUUAAUCGGAAUUACUGGGCGUAAAGGGUGCGUAGGCGGUUCGUUAAGUCGGUCGUGAAAUCCCCGGGCUCAACCUGGGAAUGGCGAUGGAUACUGGCGAGCUAGAGUGUGUCAGAGGAUGGUGGAAUUCCCGGUGUAGCGGUGAAAUGCGUAGAGAUCGGGAGGAACACCGAUGGCGAAGGCAGCCCCCUGGGUCAAGACUGACGCUCAUGCACGAAAGCGUGGGGAGCAAAC